RNAcentral lists this transfer RNA (68 nucleotides) under Chrysochroa fulgidissima. RNAcentral describes it as "tRNA-Ser". The record is from RNAcentral. Lineage: Eukaryota; Metazoa; Arthropoda; Insecta; Coleoptera; Buprestidae.
AGUUAAUGAACUUGAAAUAAGUAUAUACUUUGAAAGUAUAAAAAAGGAGCCUAAUCUUCUAUUAACUU